Molecule: long non-coding RNA, 2287 nt
Organism: Bactrocera neohumeralis
Lineage: Eukaryota; Metazoa; Arthropoda; Insecta; Diptera; Tephritidae
Exons: 4
Source: RefSeq, a predicted model, not a curated record
ACCAGUACUGAUCUGGUAUAAUGGGACGGUCCCAUCAAUCUUGAUAUACAUACAUAUGUAUAUCUUCCAUCACUUUUGGAUUCUGGUUCAGUGGCGGAUUCAGAGUAGAAUUUUGGGGGGGAACUAUAUAAUUUUGUAUUUGCAACUCAAUAUCUUUUUCUUCGCGGAGUGUAACUUAUGAUGGAAAUAAUGUAUAACUUUUAUUUUUGGAGGAGGAACUCUACGUAGUUCUCCCCUCCCCGUGGAUCCGCGCCUGUUCUGAUGGAACCGCUUUCUCCAUAAUUUCUUAAAUUAUCCGAAAAAUUAUACAGUUAAUUCCGUAUAUAGUCUAUUUUCGUUUAUGUUCGGUAAAGAGCUUGAGGGUGUGGAUCACGUGAUGAGCGAAAAAGGGGGCGCAGAACGCUAAUCAAAACAAGUUAAUUUUUUUCUGAAUAAUAAUUAAUCAAACUAUCAUGAAAACCAGACGCUUUAAAAAUUUUCAUGAACUAAUUCAUAAUUUCGACUAUAACCGCGUGGGCGGCGACUGCGCCAAUAAAGAAGAAUUCGUAAUCUGGACACUUGAAACCAUAACAAUUUGCUAAGAUCGCCAGCGCAUCAAAUAAAAUAUAUUUUAUACAGAGUUGUGUUAUUAUUCAAGGCAGCGCUACAAUCUUCGAACAAAUGGUUCAGAGCGGACCACUAAAGCACAUAGUUUUAGCAUAUAUGUAUGUACAUAUAUAUUCUUUUUAUAGCUAUUAAGGCUUUGUGAAAUGCAGUAGUGAGGGGUAUCAUAGCUUCGAUGGAGCAGAAAUUAGCGUUUUGGCUUGCUUUUGUACAUUCUCUUAUGCGAUAUAUAUUUUUAAGGAUCAGUACACAUCAGCUUUCCGCCUUUACAUAUAUUGUAUAUUAUUUCUCUUAAAUAGGAUUUUUUAAAUACCUUAUAGUUUUUUCUCCUCAUAAAUAUGUAAGGGACAAGACUGCAACACAUCAGUUCUAAUUACAGACAUACAUAUGUACAUACUAAUAUAUGUAUGCGAAGCUAAUCAGUUGCAGUGCUUUCAAUUCAAAUGAGCGCAUUAAUACAACAAUGAAUCCAAUGGCCGCAUCUGAAAGUAAUGAAAAUUGCAACGUUUUGAUUGGAGAUUUAAUCGUACUUUUGCAAUAGGUCAUGCCACUUGAUAUUGCCCCCACAGCACUCGAACCAACUCCAGCCGCUGUAGGUAGCUACGGCAUUCCAUAAAGUAUUUGACCGAGCGAGCGUCCACUUGGCAGCAUGGCUGUGCGUUGCUGUGGCACGGGCGGUGGAUUCGAUUCGGUCGUCGUGAUUGCGAUGUGCUUUUUUUUGCAGCAACAUUAAAGCCAAUGUGUAUGUAACGAGUGAGUACCUACUACAACUACUAGUACUUACCUUCAUGCAAGCCCGUUUAUCGAGGGUGGAGUCCAAGCACCGUUGAUUGGCCUGCCAACUCUGUUGCAAUGUUGUGCCAUUGGUAGAUAAUUUUAUAGGCAUUUUGAGCCUAUAAACGAAAACCGGAAAUAAACGAGCGAACAAAUGAAUUAAUAUUCGUUCUCAAGUACGAAUGUUGUUGGCGCGCUUACAACUACAAAGGAGGCAAUUGAAUCGAAUAUAUGUAUAGUAGUAUCUCAUCGACCUGGAGAAAAGCUGUGAUUACCCUGGUUGAACAUUUUUAAGGCUUUAGCUUCCACCCUCCAGCAGUCAACAGCCAUCAGCUGUUUCCAAGCGGCCAUUCUACAAAUGUUUACAAAUCCAUGAGAUACUCAUUACGCCACAAAUACACACACACACAAAACAAAGCAGCUACACGAUUUCCUGGUCGCCCGCUUUUCCAUACACAAAUCGAAAUUGCUGCAUCGCGACAGCGCAACAUAGCGACAAUAACAACAAAAAUUAAAGAGAAUAAACAUCAGCAAGCAAAGCAGCAGUCGCAAGCAGCAGUCGCAAGCAACGCCACACAACACGCUCCAUAUCCAGGUUGGCGCAGAGUUGCCAUUAGCGGAACAUUCAUAUCUAAAUAGUCUCGUGAAAUACUUGCCUGUGUGCAGAGGAAGUUUUAUAAUGCUAGACGACAAUAAUUUAUUUAAUUAACAAUAAUUUAUUUAAUUAACAAUAAUUUAUUUAAUUAACAAUAACUUCGACAAUAAUUUACUUAAUUAACUAUAAUUUUUUUUAAUUAACAAUGGUUUAAUUAACAAAAAAUUAGCUAACAAUAAUUUAAUUUAAUUAAUUAACAAUGGUUUAUUUAAUUAAUCAUGAUUUAUUUAAGGAACAAUUUAUUUAAUUAACCAU